GGAUUUCUGGCGGGGACCAAGUACCCCUGGUGGGUGUGCUCGGGCCCGGCCAUCCUUCUGUAAACUUUCGCGCGUCCUUCACCGGUCGGCAAAGGGAUCAGAUAAUUUACCUUGAGAAAAUUAGAGUGUUUCAGGCAGGCUUAGCCGGAAUACAUUAGUAUGGAAUAAUGGAAUAGGACUGAGGUCUCGUUGUUGGUUACUCGGACUACAGUAAUGAUUAAUAGGGACAGUUGGGGGCAUUAGUAUUUAAUAGCUAGAGGUGGAAUUCUCUAAUUUGUUAAUGACUAUUUUAUGCGAAAGCAUUUGCCAAGGAUGUUUUCAUUAAUCAAGAACGAAAGUUAGGGGAUCAAAGACUAUCAGAUACCGUCCUAUUCUUAACCAUAAUCUAUGCCGACUCGGGAU
RNAcentral lists this ribosomal RNA (402 nucleotides) under uncultured eukaryote. RNAcentral describes it as "SSU rRNA". It matches the Rfam family "Eukaryotic small subunit ribosomal RNA", at positions 636 to 1053 of the family's 1831-position model. The record is from RNAcentral.